This 6575-nucleotide long non-coding RNA is filed under the name Taeniopygia guttata (zebra finch). RNAcentral's name for it is "lncRNA (ENSTGUG00000026625.1)". The record is from RNAcentral. Lineage: Eukaryota; Metazoa; Chordata; Aves; Passeriformes; Estrildidae.
AUCUUUUUCACUUCAGAAGCACUGAACUUUGGCAAUUUAUAUUUAUUUUAGUUGAAAGAGGCAAGCUAACAACUUGACACCACUUCUAAAUAAGAGGAGACCUUGGUUACAAUUCAUUUUAAGCUUACUUAAUUUUUGAUGAAUUGUUCUUCCUAUUGCAGAUGAUUAGCAGCACUCUCUGUUCUGUAAAGACAGAUUUUCUUUUUACCACAGCACAGCAACUUCUACCUCCCUAUAUCCACGGAAAAUAUUGCAGAAGGUAGAACAAUAAAAAUGUGAAUAUUUUUUCAGAUAGUAUAAACUUGUGUGAUUUUCUUGUCUUGGUAGCUAACAUUAGUUAGCCAGUGUUGCAGCUUCUGUAGAUCAGGGAAGUUUAUUUAUUCUGGUUGAGGGUCUUUGGGGGAUUUUAUUCUUGGUGCAGAUUGGGAUCUUGAGAAGCCUGUAGAAUUUCAGUGCAGAGAAAAGCUGUGUAUUAAACCUUACAUGAAAGGUCAAAGGCAAACUCCUUUUUUAACGAGACCCUUUAUUUAGUUUUGUGUAGGUAUCAGUGCUUCUAUUUUAAAUGGAACCAGGUUUUUUAUUCACAUGUAUGUAUAAAAUUUUAAAUGUAAUGUUUUAGGGGGAAAGAGGAUUGAGACCCUUGCAGAGUAAGCUUUUUCAUGAGUGAAGCUCAGAGCAAAAUCUACAGCACUGUGCUGUAUUACCUUGGGAAAGUACUGCCUCUGUAGCUUUUAUCUAAUGCUCAGCUUAGGCUGCUGUACAUGUAGGUCUGUUUGAUUAUUGCCCCUUGGAGCAGAUAAGUGCAAGCAAUGAUCUCACUCUGUUGUUACAAUAAUUUCUCUUUGGGGAUUCUGCCCUUCUUCAUAUUUCAGUGACAUCAUCCUUUUUGCAGACUGUAACUCACUAAUAUUGACUCCUGACCUUGCUAAUGAAACCUGCAGAAAUACAGUAUGGAAAAACAGAAUGCUUGUAUUGAUAUUGUGAGAAGUAUAGCUAGCUUUUAGCUGUUCAAAACUACUUUUUAAAGGUAGUAAACUUGGAUAAUUAGAGAUGAACCUGAAUAUAUAGCCUUGAAUAAUCAUUUUUUGUUCCUAACAUGUCUGUUCUAUGCCAACCCAUAUAGUAUGCACACAUGCAUCUACCUCAGAUGUAACUUCAGAGUUUUCUUUUAAUUCUGUGACCUAAAUACCUUUAUUAAUUAGCCUGAAACACAACAGCAAAAGGAAACACUUUUCCACAGUGACCAAUUUUUAAAUUGCAGAAACACUAAAAAAUAGACAUACCACUUCAGCCACAGCAAAAUUACCUUAAUUCAUAGAAAAGGCCAAUUUUGUAUGAACCAACAAAGACAAUUUUCUCAUUUAACACAGCAGGGUUUUAGUGGAUGCAAAAUUGCUUUCAAAUACCUCAGAAUGGUGCCUAUCAGUUUCUCAAUAAAUGCCUUCAUGUCGGCAUCCAGGGUGUUGCAGGGAGUACAAGAUUGUGGGAGCUGCGGAGAGGCUGAAGAAUUGAAUAUUCUUACUGUGGUUUAUUGCUGGAUUGAAGCAGAGAAAGCCUUUUUCCUUUGUCAGUCCUUCCAUGUGUUGAUUUUUGUGCAUUUUACCUUUUGAGCAAUCCAGGUCUUCUGUGUUACUGGUAUUAAUUUUAAUCCCUCAUAUAAUGACAAUAAAAUAACCAAAUCAGGGCAGUUUUUUCAUGUGAUUUGUGUGUCUGAGAUCAAUUUGUAUGCAAUCACUUUCAGUAUUUCUCCUGCAUGUUUGGACAAUUUCCUGUUAUGUUUCUGUGGCUUUUCACAGGCAAGAAGAAGGGAAAAGUUCCUAAGAUGACAGGAUUGCAAAGUACACACGCUGGAUAGUUUGGGAGCUAGUUCGGAGGAUGCAGAAAUUACUUUUUACUGGGUUUUAUUUGAUUCUAGGUUGGCACAUGUCUUUUUUGGCUUGUUAAUGUGGUCUAUGUCCUAUCCUAAACUAAAGGGCUAAUGGACAAAAAUUGAAGCUGCUUGGCAAUAGCUGUCAAUGUGUGCAGUGCUGUGCAAAUACAAUUUCUGUGAAGCUCCUAUCUCUGCGAUGCGUUUGCACAGGAAAAGUAUAAUUUCACAAGUCCUGCACUUGAAAUUGCUAAUCACAGUUUUAAUAACUGCAUCUCCCCUUUGAGUCAUGUGUCAGCUCCAGGUCCCCAGUGGUACCAUAAAUGUUUUAUAAAACUUGACUGGAGUAGUGAAAUCCAAGUGAAAAGAUGAGGUUUGGUCCCAUCCCUCCCUCUUUUCCUCUUUGCCUUUGUUCCUUGUUUUCUUGGGAAGCUCCAUAGCUAUAGACUAUAAGUCAAAAGACCUGGAAGAUUGCAUGUUCCAGUGUACCCUGUAUUGAUUUCUGUUCAGUACUCUCCCCAAGCUAAAACUAACCUGAAAUCAUCAUUCUACCAUUUUUAUUUUUAAUGUCAUUCUGUUUGUUGUUCUGUGGGACAUAUUUGCCAUUUUCUUUUAAUGGUUUUUAAGGAAAUACUGGUAACAGCCUAUCAGGAAAGAAACUGAUUUUUGUUUCCUUGUAAGUUGACAUUUCCGUUACAUUUCACCCCAUAGAUAUAUUUAAAAUGGUCUGGAAAGUUUGUUUUCUUUGUGUUCAGAAUUAUGUACUGUAGACAGUGACUUCAGGGCCUCUUAGAGCUGCAAUCAGAAGGCAAAUGGGAGAGAAAUAUUCUGAAAAAAAGGACCAGACUGGUGUCUGUCGUGCUCUUUAUGUACUUUCCAGCUGGUUUUGCUUCUAACGUUCAGUAUUCCUCACGGGACACUGAUGCAAAUCUGCAUUCACAUUUUUCCCCUCUUUGUGUGUAACUCACAAGACCCUAAAGUAAAGCAGUGAUUUGCAGUAUUAGGAAAUGAGGCUCGGUGUCCCUGUCCCCAGUGUGAACGUGCACAUUUAAAUAUGAAUGAAAGUGGGCCAGAACCCCCUUGAAGCCUGGAGUUGAUGCACAGACUGCCUGUUCUUUCCGGUUUAAGUACUGUACUUUUUUUUUUUCCCUUUGCUGAACAACAGCUACCAUAUGGGCUGAGCUUCAGCCAGUCAACUGCUAAAUUACAAACACUCUUUUGACUGUAAAUUGAAUGGAAAAGGAUGUCAGUUAUCGCUUUCCUCCCGUGGCCACACCACAAGAGCACCUGCAGUAAAAAACUGGCAUUCAUGCUCUGAAAGGCACCACAUGCUGCUAUUGUGAGCUGAACAGGAUCUAACCUUGGCUUUGCUUACCCUGUUCCUAUCGCAGAGAGGAGAUGGCAGAGAUAAGAGCCUCGAUUCUGAAUGGGAAUUCACUCAGAGACGUGUCCCAGCACUUAUCCACCCUAUUUUGCUUCCACUAAAGGAAGUAAAAAUCUACUUAGGAAGAUGGCUAUCUGUGCUGUCCUUCUGAGAGCAGUCUUUGACUUGGGCACGUGUUUACCAUAUUGAUUUUGAAGUUCGUUAUGAAAUUAUAAAUGCUUUUUCUCGGAAGGCUCCUCACUGUGACCAGUUCAGCUCAUUCACAGGAUUACCUGGUCUCCAGCCUGAAUGCCAGAACAAAACUACUCUGGUUUCUCACCUGAGCAGAGAUGGUCUGGAGCAGCACCAUCCCUCAUGCCCAGGGCACGCUGGAGCCAUAAACACACCCGUGUCUGCAAGGAGAAUUUGAGCAGGGAGAAAGAAAUUGUCUGGAGCAGUGAACUGGGCAGACCAGUACAAGAGACAGCUGCUGGGCCAGGAAAGGUUCCUGUGCUGGGACGUGUGUCCUGCCAUGGAAUGUGGCAGCUGAGCAAGGCUGCAGCUGCUGCUGGCAAGGGCCUGCCAGCCCUGGGCUUCCAGGAGGGCCAGGGAAAGUCCAUCAUCUGCUGUGUCCAUUAACUCUUCUCUUCCUGGACAGGUAAAAGUCAUUACUGAACCAGCCCAAAUGGUUAUUCACUCUGUGAUUUAAAAUUAUUGGGAAGAACAGGCAGUUUAAUAAUUAGGGUAUUUCCCUAGAGCUGCAUGACUGGCUAAAGAUUAGUGUUUCUGUUGAGCUCCCCAGUUAUGGGGAUAAUGUUGGAUGCAUUAUCGAUCUGUCUUAUGGCUUUUGCUCAAAGAAUCCUUAAAGUUCAGCACCUACAAACAUAAACCCCACUCUGGAGUCACUAAGGGGAGUCAUUAGGUCAAGAAUCAGUGUACUGAAAAAAGUAUUACAGUGCUAAAGAAUGUACUGGGCAACCAAAUAACAUUCACAGUGUUAAUUUACCAUUUUUUGGAGGUUGGAGACCUUGAGUAUUUCUGCCAAUGCUAAAACCCACAAUGCUUGAACACAACCAAAUAAUUCUAGCAUUAAGCUAGCUUUGUGAUUCUGGUAAUUAUUUGGUAGCAUAUAACAUAAAAGAGAUGUAUUUUUAUGUAUCAUAAUGUGUAGUUGCCUUUCUCCCCAGAAGUAAGUGGGUGAAAGAUGCUAUUGCUGUUUGAAUAAUCUCAAAACCAAGAUGCUGAUGUUGAAAAGUUGUUUUUAGAACAUGCUCUGUAUCUUUGGAGGUUUUUAAAAUGCUUUGUUUUGAGAUAGUAGAUGACACCUUAUAUAAUGAAUACCAUCAGACGUUUCAUCCUUGGUUCCUCCCCUAGCUUUGGGCCAAAGCUCUAGCUUUUAGCAUUCAUGCAUAUUAUGACUACUUUAGCAUUAUAAUACAUUAAUUAAGCUUAAAUUAAAUGUCAUUUAUGCUGGUUUUUGGAUAUCCAUUGAUGCCCUUUUUUCCUACCAUCUGUGCAGUGCUACAGAUCGACAGCCCACAUUCCCAAUACCUGUAACAUUUAUUAAUGUUUAGUCUUCACUCUUUCUUUGUUUCUGAUUAGAAUAGUUUUGUACAUCAAUCAGGCAUAUGUAUAUUUGUUAAUUUUUAAUAGAACCUGUAAGGUUUUUUUGUGUGAUUCAAAAAAAGACUGGGGAGAUGCUGUAGCAUAACUGGCAACUGGAAAUCUUGUAGCUCUUUCACAGUCAAGGUUGCACCUUGUCUCUUGCCUUGAUGAGCUUGUUUUUCACAACGUUCCUAGAUACUUAAAAAAUAAAUAUAGGAUGUCUUCUAGGAAAGCAAGUCCAGGUUUGGGAGAGGUACAUGAAUUUUAAGCAGCAAGUCUGUUGCUGGCUUUUCAGCAUUUCCUUCCUGACAGUGUCCCUGUGGAUAUCCAAAAUGUCUCCAGUGACAAAAUUCCAACUGACUUUGCUUUGCUUUCCAUGUCUGUGUGGAAACUCCUGAUAGAUUGUUGCAAAGUUGUCUUCAGGGUUCACCUACAUGGCAAACACCAGAGCAUGGACAUCAGAGCAGGGAACGCUGGGGAAAAGAGGUACAGGACUGUGCAGAGGCAAAUGAGGACAGGAGAGUGUGAAAAAAUGUCAGUGUGGGUGAAAUGCAUUGUCUCCAUGUCUGCUGUCCUCUGUCCCUCAGUCCUGGACUCAUACCCAGAGUCAGAGAGUGCUUGUGGCUGGAAGGGACCUCUGGAUGUGACCUUGUCCAAGCCCCUGCUCAGCAGCUCACCUGGAGCAGGCUGCCGUGGCAGGACCAUCCACAGGCAGGUUUUGAAUCCCUGCAAGGACAUCUCCAAAGCAACUCCUUGCAUUUGCAUUUAUGCCCUUGCCAGACAGCCAAAAUCCUUCAGAAGGGAGAUUUCUCCAGAGAGGCUUUGUAGGAUCUGCUGGACCACAGAAAUGCCUGUCCUAACUGAGGGUUGGAAGGGAGCAGAAUUCCUAAAUAAACAUGAGAAAAAAAUGCAUGUGAGCAGGAAAGUGAGGAAAGCAGGUGUAAAUGUGGGCAUCUGUUAGGUCUGGUUGUACCUUCAAAGAAGUUUCUCCUGUUAACAAGAAUUCUCAGACCUUGGAAAGUCUCUGAAACAUGCAGCUGAAUUCAGAAAUGUCUGUAUCUGCUGGAGUCAGAGGUGGGAAGUGUGGUAUUUGCUUCUUACUGUGCUCUAGAAAUAAUAUUAGAAGAGAUGGCAACUAUUCCUAUCCAAUGUCUUUUGAUAAGGUCACUCUGAGCUUAUUCUGAAUUUGCUUUUUCUGAGAAGUAUUUUGGAGUUCUCAAAAUUUGGGUUUUAUGUGUCAUGUGUGGCCAUCACUUACCUUAAGUCAAGCAGCUGUUUUUAUAUCCUGUUUUUCUGUCUCUUGCUAGCUCUGUGCUUGGUAUGGGACAUCUUGCUGCAAUCCUGCUGCUUUGGAUGUGCCAGUUAUGUAAACAGAGAGUGGGGAUAGGUGUAGCUUCCUCUAGACUGAAAGUGGUGCUUGCAGCAGAGAAGGAGUUGGGCUGAAGUAAUUCCUUUCAUUAGAAUAAAAAUCUGAAAAUAAAAGUCUGAACUGCAUCUAGAGGUAAGCUGUUUCUUUCAAACUUUUCAAAAAAAGUAUGGAUUCUUCCUCCUUCCCUCCCCAGAAUUCAAGAAAAUAUGAUUUGUCUUUGAAAAUGGAUGGGUUGAGUUUUUUUUAAAGCAAAUAUUUUUAAAUGGGUGGUUUCUUUGGUAUGCUGAAAGAAAACAAAUACAUUCAAAAGGGCUGAGACUUUAACCCCAGGGAAGUGCUAAAGGAAAGCCAGACAAAUUCCUGUGCUGACU